Paramuricea clavata is the source of this 439-nucleotide non-coding RNA. NCBI's taxonomy places the organism in Eukaryota, Metazoa, Cnidaria, Anthozoa, Malacalcyonacea, Plexauridae. The record is from the annotation of a GenBank genome assembly.
UCACCCGGUACGACCAUUUUAUGCGGCUAGAUAGUCGCUAAAGUAUGCGGAAAAGUGGCGACUGAUAGUCGAAGAAAAUGUGCACCGUCGUAUGGCUGAGUAAACCGUAACCACUGCACAGAAGUUUUAGUUAUAAGUGUAACUGCCCCUGCUUGGUGGAUGGUGGGGAGGCGGGAGGAUAGUUUCCCCGGAGGGGUAGCUGGCCGGGGUUGGGGUUUGCGGUUAGGUUGCGGGGUUAGCAGGUGGGGUUAGGGGUCAGGGGCUAGAAGGUGGGGUUAGGGUUAGGGGUUAGGAUUAGGGUUAGGAUUAGGGUUAGGGUUAGGAUUAGGGUUUGGGUUAGGAUUAGCGUUUGGAUUGGAAGUGUACAUGAUGCGCGACUGACAGUCGCCAUUUACCCGCAUACUUUACCGACUAUAUAGUCGUGUGGAUAUGGUCGUAC